Molecule: long non-coding RNA, 1732 nt
Filed under: Nicotiana tabacum (common tobacco)
Lineage: Eukaryota; Viridiplantae; Streptophyta; Magnoliopsida; Solanales; Solanaceae
Description: long non-coding RNA (NTAB_LNC016851)
Source: RNAcentral
ACGAAUCCCAAAACGACACUAAAAAUAGCAGAAAAUAAAAUGUCACUAAUGGUCAUUGGCCUUAUUACAUUCUUAAAGCAAAAGAAAAGACUCCUAGCUACUUGGUACCAGAAGGACCUUCUUCAGGUUGAAUGUUUUCAUUGAUCAGAUCCUCCAGCUCGCGCAGAUUUUCUAGUAAAAAUGCCUUCGCUAGGCGUUCUCAUUUUCCUUCCUCAGCGUUUUGAUAGUCGGUGACUCUUUUCCUCACUUUCCCUUCCAACUCCAGUAGACUAUAUUCUAGAUAUUCCAGCUUUUCACUAGCCCUGGUGACUCUCUCUUUCCAUUCGUUGAUUUGGUUACUUGAUGGGAGGUUCCUCCACCAGGUCAGCAAGAGUAAGGGUAUGUUGACCAUACCAAAGUCGGGAACUUUGUCUUUCAUUUCUGCAAAACAAAAGGGUGAGGCCAUACUUCUGACAGAUUCGCCUAUUAAAUAUCAACAAUUAGCAUGAGCAGCAUUUAGUUCUCCAAAUAAAUGCACAGACAUGGUAGUGUUCAUUUGGGUUUCAAGGGAACCCAGUGGACUUUGGACAAGGCUAUCUUAAAGAGUCAUUUCAGUGAUGCAUGCACAAUUGAACAGAGUAAGGUUUUUAUGGGGUAUUAGACCAGUACCCUUGAGCGACAACUCAAGAGGGAAAGGCACGGAACCGUCGACUACACCGUUGAUCGACUGGUUUUACCGCAAAUAUGCCUUUACCAAAUUUAGGGGGUGAUAAUAUUGGAAGGGCGCAACCACUCAUUAUAAGCGUAGAUAUGGUAUUUUGUUUGGCACGAGUGGAAUAUGAUAUUGAAUAUGCAAUUACAAGAAUGAAACAAAUUGUCACGUAUUUGCACGUUCAUAAAGUAAUGAUUACAAUAAUUGCUCAUAAUUACAACGACAUUGAAGGAAAGCGGUAAAAGAAAGCACUAAAAAAAGAAACAAAGAGCCAAGUCAGUUUCAUAACAGAAAAGAGGUAAAGACAUUAAAUAAAGGUAAUAAAGAAGCAGUGAAGUCACAAGUAACAUGAGAUGGUAAAAGCCUAAAGAAGUCCCCAGUAGAGUCGUCAUGCUGUCGCGCCCCUUUUUUCUAAAAGAGAAAUCGGGUUCAUGACAUUUGGGAGGACAACUCGUUCCCUCUUGGGAAUUGGGUUUUUUGGGUUGAAGAGUCUCCACCUAAUGAUUAAAGUGCAUUAGGACACUAAAGAAGAGUUCGAGUUGGAAAACCAGAGUUCGGGUAAGGGCUAGAAAUUAUCUCGAGGGGAAGGUGUUAGGCACCCCCCAAAAUCCACUAGUGUGGUUCCCGGCCAUGUUACAAUUGUGACUUUAACUAACAAGUAACCAAAUAAAGGUCUCAAAUAUAAGGGGAUUUACACAUAAUGUUGCAAGUGAAUUGAAAGUUUGAAGAAAGAUAAAGAAAACAGAAAUCUUAAGCAAAUAGUCUGGACAGUUUAAAAGGGAUAACAAGUAAAGGGGAAGGGGUCCUAGGUUUACAAACAAUGUGGAUCACAUCAAUGCAAUACCCGACAAUCACUCCUCAGAAGAGGGGUCGCACGUGGUAUUAGCGCACCGAUCAUCAUGUCCAUAUCUACCCUUUCCCACCCCGUUAAGGUAUUAAACGCGGAAUAGUGUCGUUACUUAUUACAUGCUAGUACCUGUCCCGAUCCUAUCAGUCCCGAAGGCAUUUGGGACUACUAGUCCUAAAGGGAGGGAGGUUGGG